UGAGGAAUAUUGGUCAAUGGGCGAGAGCUUGAACCAGCCAAGUAGCGUGAAGGAUGACUGCCCUAUGGGUUGUAAACUUCUUUUAUAAAGGAAUAAAGUCGGGUAUGGAUACCCGUUUGCAUGUACUUUAUGAAUAAGGAUCGGCUAACUCCGUGCC
Molecule: ribosomal RNA, 157 nt
Filed under: uncultured bacterium
Lineage: Bacteria
Description: partial 16S ribosomal RNA
Rfam family: Bacterial small subunit ribosomal RNA
Source: RNAcentral